AAAAUGCAAAAGAAAGAAAGAAAGGAAAAAAGAAAACUGUUGCCCAGGAUGUUCACAUCCUCCUUUUCCUUGCUGUUUUCGCCUGCCCCUUCUUCUUC
RNAcentral lists this non-coding RNA (98 nucleotides) under Heterosigma akashiwo. The record is from RNAcentral. Lineage: Eukaryota; Raphidophyceae; Chattonellales; Chattonellaceae.